GUGAAACCUCUGCAAGCUGCAUGGAAACUUUUUAAAGACACCAUGAUAGAGGCUCAACUGAAAUCUAUACCCCAAAUUAAAAAACAUAGUAAGAGAACCAAAAAAGUGCCACCGUGGCUAAACAACAAAGUAAAAGAAGCAGUGAGAGGCAAAAAGGCAUCCUCUAAAAAGUGGAAGUUAAAUCCUAGUGAGGAAAAUAGAAAGGAGCACGAACUCUGGCAAAUGCAGUGUAAAAAUACAAGUAGGAAGGCCAAAAGAGAAUUUGAAGAACAGCUGGCCAAAGACUCAAAAAAUAAUAGCA
Chelonia mydas (Green sea turtle) is the source of this 301-nucleotide long non-coding RNA. RefSeq lists it as uncharacterized. The record is from RefSeq and is a predicted model, not a curated record. NCBI's taxonomy places the organism in Eukaryota, Metazoa, Chordata, Testudines, Cheloniidae. The transcript is spliced from 2 exons.